UACGGGGGGGGCAAGCGUUGUUCGGAAUUACUGGGCGUAAAGGGCUCGUAGGUGGCCAACUAAGUCAGACGUGAAAUCCCCAGGCUCAACUUGGGAACUGCGUCUGAUACUGGAUGGCUUGAAUUCGGGAGAGGGAUGCAGAAUUCCAGUUGUAGCGGUGAAAUGCGUAGAUAUCUGGAGGAAUACCGGUGGCGAAGGCGGCAUCCUGGACCGAUAUUGACACUGAGGAGCGAAAGCCAGGGGAGCAAACGGG
This 253-nucleotide ribosomal RNA is filed under the name uncultured bacterium. Its description in RNAcentral is "partial 16S ribosomal RNA". It matches the Rfam family "Bacterial small subunit ribosomal RNA", at positions 524 to 776 of the family's 1533-position model. The record is from RNAcentral.